UUUAUCUUCUAGAAUUACAAAGUAUGAACUCGAGAAGCAUUUUGCUAGAGAAGGAGAGGUGACUGAUGUCCAUCUUGUAGUGGACCCUUGGACAAGGGAAUCCCGUGGCUUUGCUUUUGUGACAAUGGCUAAUGUUAAGGAAGCAAACCGCUGCCUGAAAUAUCUCGAUGGAUCUGUGUUGGAAGGUCGUGUCAUAACUGUC
Molecule: unclassified non-coding RNA, 202 nt
Filed under: Hevea brasiliensis (rubber tree)
Lineage: Eukaryota; Viridiplantae; Streptophyta; Magnoliopsida; Malpighiales; Euphorbiaceae
Source: RNAcentral